GUGGUAGUGCAAGAAGUGGUUAGAACAUCUCUUAGUGUAGAAAUUAAGGAGAAGUAAGUGCUGGAUCCUAUCUUGAUGUAAAUUAAGAGUGAUGUUGGUGGGCAAAAGGUAGUGGUGUUUAAGAUAGGUGGCGAUGAUACUUUAUGGUACCAACGGAGGUUGUGAGUUCCUGAUGUCGAUGGGUUGUGGCAAAGGGUUUUGGCUGAGGUG
This 210-nucleotide long non-coding RNA is filed under the name Capsicum annuum. Its description in RNAcentral is "long non-coding RNA (CANN_LNC010361)". The record is from RNAcentral. Lineage: Eukaryota; Viridiplantae; Streptophyta; Magnoliopsida; Solanales; Solanaceae.